Long non-coding RNA from Daktulosphaira vitifoliae (grape phylloxera), 877 nucleotides. RefSeq lists it as uncharacterized. Lineage: Eukaryota; Metazoa; Arthropoda; Insecta; Hemiptera; Phylloxeridae. The record is from RefSeq and is a predicted model, not a curated record. The transcript is spliced from 4 exons.
CAUUAUAAAAAUUAGUCGAAUGUUACAAGAGAAUUAGAAAACACGUGGUACUUUAUAUGCAUAAAUUUGAUGGGAUUCUACUUGAAAUUACUUAGAAUACCGAUAGUUGAAAAUAUUCUGGUAGCCGAACAUUACACGUCAAGUAUUACAGCUAACAUUUUUUAGUUAUGUAGUCAAGUAUCUGUGUAAGAAAGUUGAAUUUACUUCAAUCAGCUUGUUGUGCUUAUGACAAUACAAAGCAGUUACGAUUCGACAAUCGGUCCUUUGAUGUAGGCACUGUAUAUAUGAUUACACACAAGUGUUUCACAGAUAAGUAAAUGUUUAUUUCGAAAGUAAAACUUCUUAUCUCGAACAAAGAACCGAAGUGAUAUUCUGAUAACUUAAUUUAUUUUGAAUAGUUUCCAAACUGUCAGUGUAAUAAUAAUUGUAAAUUAUAUAACAUGCACACGAAUGAAGUCUUAGACUGUUUUUAACAAAAAUAAGUAAAAUUCCAAUUUUAAGAGAAGAAAGGAUAAUGAUUAAGAUAAUGUUUGCAAUGCAUUUUUAUCAGUUUAAUUUAAGAAAACACAAUUGUAUUGUUGCCUUCAUUUUAAAAGUGACCAAAAGUUCGUUUGUAGUUUUAGAAAAAAUCAAGUUUUAUGUAAAUUUUAAUUAUACUAACCAUUUAAAAUCAGGACCGGAGUUAGAAAUGCGCAACUCUGGAUCCGUACUCUAGUUAUAUAAGAGAAGCUUUAAAAAUGUACUUUUUCAUUCUUUACCUCAUUCUUGAUAUUAAUGACUCUUAUUUUUAUCAAUAAUAAACAAAAAAAAACAUCAAUUAUAUUUUUUGUUCUAGUGGACAAAAUGUAUAACCCUUGUUAUUUUACGAGAUAUUACU